AAGUCGUAACAAGGUUUCCGUAGGUGAACCUGCGGAAGGAUCAUUAGUGAAAAGAUUAAUUCUUUACACAUUAAACUCUAACGUGAACCUUAACACCAGGCAUGUUCCAGAGAUAAGUCUCCUUGCAAAAGGAAGGUAUUUCUGGCCCCUAUCUGUAGAGUCGCACAUGUUCAUUGACCCCCACUGCCUAAUUUGAAGCAUUAGUGAAGCCGAGGCUUUGGGACUUUGAAAUGUGUUUAAGCUCUUAGAUUUGGGUAUCCUGACGCCGUAAGUUGGAUGAGAACCUUGGUUCUCUUAAAGUCCUUCUUUACUUUCAGGUUAGGUGUGCUGUAUUGCUAUAUAAACUUGUGAGUGAAGCUUAACCGUAUUUUUGAUUGCCUAACAUACAACAUUAGUAAUAAUGAAAUACAACCUUUAACAAUGGAUCUCUUGGCUCCU
Molecule: unclassified non-coding RNA, 438 nt
Filed under: fungal sp.
Lineage: Eukaryota; Fungi
Description: partial internal transcribed spacer region
Rfam family: Eukaryotic small subunit ribosomal RNA (bases 1-46)
Source: RNAcentral